RNAcentral lists this ribosomal RNA (253 nucleotides) under uncultured bacterium. Its description in RNAcentral is "partial 16S ribosomal RNA". It matches the Rfam family "Bacterial small subunit ribosomal RNA", at positions 524 to 776 of the family's 1533-position model. The record is from RNAcentral.
UACGUAGGGUGCAAGCGUUGUCCGGAAUUAUUGGGCGUAAAGAGUUCGUAGGCGGUUUGUCGCGUCUGCUGUGAAAACUCGGGGCUUAACCCCGGGCCUGCAGUGGGUAUGGGCAGACUAGAGUGCGGUAGGGGAGACUGGAAUUCCGCGUGUAGCAGUGAAAUGCGUAGAGAUGCGGAGGAACACCGAUGGCGAAGGCAGCCCCCUGGGCUGACACUGACGCUCAGGCACGAAAGCGUGGGGAGCAAACAGG